RNAcentral lists this ribosomal RNA (468 nucleotides) under uncultured bacterium. Its description in RNAcentral is "partial 16S ribosomal RNA". It matches the Rfam family "Bacterial small subunit ribosomal RNA", at positions 28 to 507 of the family's 1533-position model. The record is from RNAcentral.
GACGAACGCUGGCGGCGUGCUUAACACAUGCAAGUCGAACGGAAAGGCCCUGCUUUUGUGGGGUGCUCGAGUGGCGAACGGGUGAGUAACACGUGAGUAGCCUGCCCUUGACUUUGGGAUAACUUCAGGAAACUGGGGCUAAUACCGGAUAGGAGCUCCUGCAGCAUGGUGGGGGUUGGAAAGUUUCGGCGGUUGGGGAUGGACUCGCGGCUUAUCAGCUUGUUGGUGGGGUAGUGGCUUACCAAGGCUUUGACGGGUAGCCGGCCUGAGAGGGUGACCGGCCACAUUGGGACUGAGAUACGGCCCAGACUCCUACGGGAGGCAGCAGUGGGGAAUAUUGCACAAUGGGCGGAAGCCUGAUGCAGCAACGCCGCGUGCGGGAUGACGGCCUUCGGGUUGUAAACCGCUUUCGCCUGUGACGAAGCGUGAGUGACGGUAAUGGGUAAAGAAGCACCGGCUAACUACGUG